Choloepus didactylus (southern two-toed sloth) is the source of this 104-nucleotide small nuclear RNA. Lineage: Eukaryota; Metazoa; Chordata; Mammalia; Pilosa; Megalonychidae. The record is from RefSeq and is a predicted model, not a curated record.
GUGCUCACUUGGGCAGAACAUAUACUACAAUUGAAACAACACAGAGAAGAUCAGCAUGAUCCCUGCACAAGGAUAACAUGAUUAGUGAGGCAUUCCAUAUUUUC